UGUAAGCAAUUGCUGUAAAUUAACAGCCAAUUUUCAACAGUAAAAUACUGUUUUCAUGUUAAACAGUUUAGUACUGUAGUUAGCAAUGCAUUGUGGGCUGAUUAAAUUGGAGCAACAAGACAGAGGCCCUCAACAGUAAGUUGAUGUUUUAAAUUACAGGACAAUACAGUAUUUUCUCGAAAAUGCGUGUUGACUGGGGAAUUUGGAGCACGGUCAGAAGCUAAGAAAUGUUAGUCUUAUAAAUUGAAGCUAGCCUAUUACUUUUGGUCAAUUUUCUUUAAAAAAUACAGAUAUAAUUUGCCAUUAACUCCUGGAUGGAAUUUCGGGAACCAUUAUUUGGAUAGGAGAUUUUCCAGAAGAGGACGUACAAUUUAGAUGACGUGCUGCACAUCGUCAAGUGUUCUUCAUCAAAUUGAUCGGGUCUUGCAUCUACAAAUGAAACGGUGUCUGCCACUGCAGUUGAUGUUGAGACAACUCUCAGUCUUCCUGCAAGUCCUCGCCUGAUACCUGGCGCUUCAUUGAUAUAAAUCCAGAGAGAGGGACAAAUGCCAAAAUCAUCAAGCAAGGUUGUCUCUAAGAAGAAAGGUGUGAUGGUCCAGAAGUCGUCUUCUGCAGUCAAAUACACAUGUGGCCAUGCUACUGAAGAAUCUCCUUGACUUUUUAAUGGAACUUCAUAUAGAUCUUGGCAGCACGGGAAUAAUGCUGCAGAGAGGAACAGCGGCUAUCAAAGUGAUGAUCGUCUCUUCAUCCACAAGAACUAAGAUGUAAAAACAGAUCGUCUCUUCAUUCACAAGAACUAAGAUGUAAAAACACAAACCUAACUCACAGGACAAUUUUAAGAGGUAACCUGCAAGUCUAGCUUGCAGUGGCACAGGUGCCUACCCUACGGUUCCAUCCUAAAUGUUUUUAUGCAUGUUAUUGAUACAUCCUGACAAAAUGUUCUACUGUACUAUAAUAGUUUCAAAAUGGCCUUAGGUAUGUUUUCAAACUUAUGUCUUAAAUAAAAAAGUAAACUAUAGGUUAUGCCCUUCACAUUUGGUAAGGAUUAGGGGCAGUCUCUGACGAGCAAUUUAAGAAUGUUAAGUUUAUUGCCAUAGUCUAAAGCAGGAGUGGGGAACCCUGGGUCCUGGAGGGCCACUGUCCACCAGAGUUUAGUUCCAACCCUAAUCAAACACACCGGAAUUUAAUU
Long non-coding RNA from Paramisgurnus dabryanus, 1189 nucleotides. RefSeq lists it as uncharacterized. NCBI's taxonomy places the organism in Eukaryota, Metazoa, Chordata, Actinopteri, Cypriniformes, Cobitidae. The record is from RefSeq and is a predicted model, not a curated record.